Populus nigra (black poplar) is the source of this 2629-nucleotide long non-coding RNA. RefSeq lists it as uncharacterized. The transcript is spliced from 2 exons. Lineage: Eukaryota; Viridiplantae; Streptophyta; Magnoliopsida; Malpighiales; Salicaceae. The record is from RefSeq and is a predicted model, not a curated record.
UAUCAAAAACAAAGAAAACCCCAAAAUUGGUUGUACUUAUUCUCUGUGCUGUGUGUCUUCAGUAUCUGAUACAAGGAUUCGAUUCUUUUGUUUUAAUUGCAGGGGAAGCCAGAGGAUACAUUAUAUAAUAUACGCAAAACGACCGAGGCGGCUACCAAGGAAUCAAUGAUAAUCAGGACAAUCAAGGUUGUCCCAGCCACUAAAUCAUUGCGGGUCAGGCUUUUUGGGAAGUGUUUGAUGUAGCAAAGUUAAAGUUUCUGGUGACUGUUGGUUGGAAGCUACUUGCUUUGGGUUUGCAUGUCUAUGAUGGAGAUUGCUGGAACUCUUGUGGCUUUAGAGAAAUCGCUUUGCCCACUGAAUCACCUGGCCAUUUUUCAAAUUGAAUACAAGGAAAUGAGAGUGCCCUGUUGUGGAUUCUUCUUGUAACAAGCCCAUAAGACAUGCCUCGUCCCUGAUGCAAAUGAUGUCUUUGCUGGAGAAAAUGAAAUUGUAAUGGGGAAUGUGUUCCCGGAGAUGAUUCAAAAACGCUAUUGAAAGGACCAAUCACCAUUCAGGCAAGCAAAAGAAUCUCGUGGAAUUCUUGCAUUCUUUACAUUCAAAGUUUCAAGCUUGUGAAAAUUUUAGUACUUUGUUCUUUAUAUCUUGAAAAUCUUGAUUUUGGGGUUUGGUCCUGCUGCUUAAUUUCUUGCAUCAUGUCUUUGUGCAUUCAGUGUUCAUGAAAAUUUUGUUAACUUGAAUGUUAUGUAUUUGCUUGAAUGGGUUAUCUCAGUUACAUUUUGAGCUUAUUCAGUGGGGGCUACUUGACCCCCUCCAUGGGACUCCAUGAAGGAGACCCAGCCAUCUCCCCUUGUUUUCUAAUUUGUGCAGAAUGUUUGUCCUCUAUGUUGGAGGAGCAGAGCAUAUAAUGGAGACAAGUGAAGUCCAUUAUCAGUUUUUCAGAGGAUGAUAGUCUCAUCGAUUAAGGAUUGAACAUUUUAGAAAUCUCGAUGGCCUAGGAAGUAUUAAGACCAUUAUCUGGUCCAAGGGGGCAUAUCUUAGGAACUCUCUGGGUUUUGAGAAGUGUUUUGUUAAGCAAUUGCAAUAUUGGAUUGAGUAACGAAAUGGCAAGCAAGGAACAGUUAGAAGUCUAUAACCUUAGGGAUCUUUAUUGCUGUGUCUUCUGUCAGAAUAGCACCUGCUGACACAACUGGAGUUCAUGUUUUUGAUAAAGAUUUUAUGGUAGGAUUCAGAUAUUUCUGCUGCAGAAAUCUGAGUAUUAAUCAAAUUUCUUAGGGUAUAGACUUCUCGAUGAAAUAGUAAUGGAUGGUACUAACCCCAGCCCAGCAAAUUUCCUGGUUCUAGGCUUCUUGAAGUUUGAUAAGUUCAAUGGAUCGCCAUGGUACAAACAAUUCAGAUGUCAUUUCCAUCGGAUGUGAGACUAUUGAGCAAAUUCCUUCAGGUGAUGGGACUCCCAAUAAUUGAUUAGUAUUAUAGUUGGAAUUGCUUAUGAUAUAUAUGGAUCACAUACAGCUUAUAACAAAGGGGCUAUUUAACUGGGUGUAAGUAGACCAGAAAUAAGGGAAGCAAGUUCUUCUUUGUUACAAGCCCUUUGUGAUCCAUGUUAUGGGGUUUCAUAAUAUUAGAAAUAAUAGAUCAUAUGCAGCAAGCAGCCAAGGACAUUCUUUAAACUAAACAAAAUUGAUAAUGCAUGCAGAAAAUCUUCAGUGAUAAAGAGCCACGAUGUUACACAGAAGAUGGAUCGCUAUUGAAGUUGAAUAUAACAAUCACCUAUGGACAUGUUUGAUACGGUGAUGGCUUCGGCUGGCCAACUUUCAGCUGUCAGUGUGUAGCUCUUGAAGGUACUUUUAAUCUUCAAAUCAAUGGCUUAUUGAAUAUCAGAAUAAAGCAACAACGCACUUGUCUGCUGAUUGGCUGGACAAUCCAAUACCUUAGCUCCAGCAAAACAAGAACGGGUAGCCUACAGCUGCUGCUGUAUUGCUCUGUUGUUGUUUUGAUGGUCUCUUGCCCUAGCUUCAUAUUCUUUUCUUCGCUUCAUUGGUUAUGUUGCUACUACGAUGCACCCAUCCUCCUUUGAAGUGGUUGCUACCUAGCUGGAUUCUGCUCUUGGAUGGAUAUUGGCUGCGGUUGCCUUCAACAAGGAGAACAUUGCAACAGACAACAGUGCUGGACUGCUAUAUAUAUAUAUAUAUCCGCUGAAAUGCUGCUAGUUUUGUUACUGCAGGGUUACUAGCAGCAUUUUUAUUUCUGUUGCUGCAGACCUCGGGGGUUUGUUCUCAAUAUGUACUGCUGGCACUUCUACCGAGUCAUGAAGUCCCAUUUCUGGUGCAAGGGCCCGGCCAGAGGAGUCAUUGUGCCUGCCAUACUUGAGGUGGAUCCCAGUUUCAGUUAUGUUUCUACUGCAUUGCUACUUCUGAUAUUGGCGUUGCAGUCCUGUUGCCGCAACUGAUGCUGCUGCUGGUUCUGCUGUGUUUCUUUGGUUAGAUCUUUGGGUUGUUUUGCCCUUCUCUCGCAUUUUCAGUACUCUGAUAGAUAGCUGUUAGAUGCGAACUGCAAUUUUCUUUUCUUUUUUGUUGGUUCUGCUACAUUGUAAAUUCUUUGUCAUUAAUAAAAUUCUAUGAUUUUCUUUUCC